This is a long non-coding RNA of Sphaeramia orbicularis (orbiculate cardinalfish), 344 nucleotides long. RefSeq lists it as uncharacterized. The record is from RefSeq and is a predicted model, not a curated record. The transcript is spliced from 3 exons. Lineage: Eukaryota; Metazoa; Chordata; Actinopteri; Kurtiformes; Apogonidae.
CCUUCUUGUAGCCAAAAUAAUUCCAGAUAACAGACAUUGCUUUUCUUUUUGGCACCAAGUCUUCAUUUACAGUGAUUUUCUCUUGUUUGUUGCUCACUUUUCAAAGUUGUUACCAGAGAUUCACUCCAAAGUGAUUAAGAACGAUUGUGAUGGGUGGAUCGCUGCGUGCAGUGUGUCAUAUACUCUUGAAAUUAGAUUAGAACAUUUUGAGUUCAUUUACCUCCUACAUCACAGGACCUGCGAUGUGACUAUUGCGCACUCGUACAUCGUGAUGUUGAUGCUCAAAAGAUAUAUUGUGCAACUCUAGUUAAAUUUGCUCAUCGUCUGCUAGCAAAAACAAGGGC